This 345-nucleotide long non-coding RNA is filed under the name Bos taurus (domestic cattle). Its description in RNAcentral is "long non-coding RNA NONBTAT012058". Lineage: Eukaryota; Metazoa; Chordata; Mammalia; Artiodactyla; Bovidae. The record is from RNAcentral.
GAACACCUAGUACAUCCAUGACAUAGUUUAAAAAUAAUAUGAAAGCAACAAUAGUGAGACAAAAACUCAUUUGCUUUCUGUGGUCAAAUGGGAUGGGCCACCAAACCAGGGAUGGUCAUCUGCCUCCCUCCCUUCAGGAGGAUGAGUCUGGUCCCCCAGAGAUCGAGGUUACCAAGUGUUAAGGAUGGCUAGGUUGGCAAAAAGGGAACUGCCAGCCUCUGCACUUCAGCCUCAGAGCUCUGCUUAACUUGAGUUAAAGGCCUCUUGUCUCAAUAAGAGGAACUGAAGCUGAGUCAGCUGACUUGUGAAUUGAAAGUCUGCAUUAAUGUGGCCUUCAAAACAACC